Molecule: ribosomal RNA, 1347 nt
Filed under: uncultured bacterium
Lineage: Bacteria
Description: partial 16S ribosomal RNA
Rfam family: Bacterial small subunit ribosomal RNA
Source: RNAcentral
GACGAACGCUGGCGGCGUGCUUAACACAUGCAAGUCGAACGGAAAGGCCCUGCUUUUGUGGGGUGCUCGAGUGGCGAACGGGUGAGUAACACGUGAGUAACCUGCCCUUGACUUUGGGAUAACUUCAGGAAACUGGGGCUAAUACCGGAUAGGAGCUCCUGCUGCAUGGUGGGGGUUGGAAAGUUUCGGCGGUUGGGGAUGGACUCGCGGCUUAUCAGCUUGUUGGUGGGGUAGUGGCUUACCAAGGCUUUGACGGGUAGCCGGCCUGAGAGGGUGACCGGCCACAUUGGGACUGAGAUACGGCCCAGACUCCUACGGGAGGCAGCAGUGGGGAAUAUUGCACAAUGGGCGGAAGCCUGAUGCAGCAACGCCGCGUGCGGGAUGACGGCCUUCGGGUUGUAAACCGCUUUCGCCUGUGACGAAGCGUGAGUGACGGUAAUGGGUAAAGAAGCACCGGCUAACUACGUGCCAGCAGCCGCGGUGAUACGUAGGGUGCGAGCGUUGUCCGGAUUUAUUGGGCGUAAAGGGCUCGUAGGUGGUUGAUCGCGUCGGAAGUGUAAUCUUGGGGCUUAACCCUGAGCGUGCUUUCGAUACGGGUUGACUUGAGGAAGGUAGGGGAGAAUGGAAUUCCUGGUGGAGCGGUGGAAUGCGCAGAUAUCAGGAGGAACACCAGUGGCGAAGGCGGUUCUCUGGGCCUUUCCUGACGCUGAGGAGCGAAAGCGUGGGGAGCGAACAGGCUUAGAUACCCGUGGUAGUCCACGCUGUAAACGGUGGGUACUAGGUGUGGGGUCCAUUCCACGGGUUCCGCGCCGUAGCUAACGCUUUAAGUACCCCGCCUGGGGAGUACGGCCGCAAGGCUAAAACUCAAAGGAAUUGACGGGGCCCCGCACAAGCGGCGGAGCAUGCGGAUUAAUUCGAUGCAACGCGUAGAACCUUACCUGGGUUUGACAUGGAUCGGGAGCGCUCAGAGAUGGGUGUGCCUCUUUUGGGGUCGGUUCACAGGUGGUGCAUGGCUGUCGUCAGCUCGUGUCGUGAGAUGUUGGGUUAAGUCCCGCAACGAGCGCAACCCUUGUUCACUGUUGCCAGCACGUUAUGGUGGGGACUCAGUGGAGACCGCCGGGGUCAACUCGGAGGAAGGUGGGGAUGACGUCAAGUCAUCAUGCCCCUUAUGUCCAGGGCUUCACGCAUGCUACAAUGGCUGGUACAGAGAGUGGCGAGCCUGUGAGGGUGAGCGAAUCUCGGAAAGCCGGUCUCAGUUCGGAUUGGGGUCUGCAACUCGACCUCAUGAAGUCGGAGUCGCUAGUAAUCGCAGAUCAGCAACGCUGCGGUGAAUACGUUCCCGGGGCU